This 492-nucleotide ribosomal RNA is filed under the name uncultured bacterium. Its description in RNAcentral is "partial 16S ribosomal RNA". It matches the Rfam family "Bacterial small subunit ribosomal RNA", at positions 29 to 507 of the family's 1533-position model. The record is from RNAcentral.
AGUGAACGCUGGCGGUAGGCCUAACACAUGCAAGUCGAACGGCAGCACAGUAAGAGCUUGCUCUUACGGGUGGCGAGUGGCGGACGGGUGAGGAAUACAUCGGAAUCUACUUUUUCGUGGGGGAUAACGUAGGGAAACUUACGCUAAUACCGCAUACGACCUACGGGCGAAAGCAGGGGAUCUUCGGACCUUGCGCGAUUGAAUGAGCCGAUGUCGGAUUAGCUAGUUGGCGGGGUAAAGGCCCACCAAGGCGACGAUCCGUAGCUGGUCUGAGAGGAUGAUCAGCCACACUGGAACUGAGACACGGUCCAGACUCCUACGGGAGGAAGCAGUGGGGAAUAUUGGACAAUGGGCGCAAGCCUGAUCCAGACAUACCGCGUGGGUGAAGAAGGCCUUCGAGUUGUAAAGCCCUUUUGUUGGGAAAGAAAAGCAGCAGGUUAAUACCCCGCUGUUCUGACGGUACCCAAAGAAUAAGCACCGGCUAACUUCGUG